GCUCAACCGAAGAAGUGCAUCGGAAACUGGGAAACUUGAGUGCAGAAGAGGACAGUGGAACUCCAUGUGUAGCGGUGAAAUGCGUAGAUAUAUGGAAGAACACCAGUGGCGAAGGCGGCUGUCUGGUCUGUAACUGACGCUGAGGCUCGAAAGUAUGGGUAGCAAACAGGAUUAGAUACCCUGGUAGUCCAUACCGUAAACGAUGAAUGCUAAGUGUUGGAGGGUUUCCGCCUUUCAGUGCUGCAGCUAACGCAUUAAGCAUUCCGCCUGGGGAGUACGGCCGCAAGGCUGAAACUCAAAGGAAUUGACGGGGGCCCGCACAAGCGGUGGAGCAUGUGGUUUAAUUCGAAGCAACGCGAAGAACCUUACCAAAUCUUGACAUCCUUUGACCGCUCUAGAGAUAGAGUCUUCCCCUUCGGGGGACAAAGUGACAGGUGGUGCAUGGUUGUCGUCAGCUCGUGUCGUGAGAUGUUGGGUUAAGUCCCGCAACGAGCGCAACCCUUAAGCUUAGUUGCCAUCAUUAAGUUGGGCACUCUAGGUUGACUGCCGGUGACAAACCGGAGGAAGGUGGGGAUGACGUCAAAUCAUCAUGCCCCUUAUGAUUUGGGCUACACACGUGCUACAAUGGAUAAUACAAAG
RNAcentral lists this ribosomal RNA (639 nucleotides) under uncultured bacterium. Its description in RNAcentral is "bacterial SSU rRNA". It matches the Rfam family "Bacterial small subunit ribosomal RNA", at positions 607 to 1244 of the family's 1533-position model. The record is from RNAcentral.